GAAGGCAUUUUAGUAAACGAGGGCAUUUUGAAGAGGUGGAAGGUGAGUGUCAAAGCAGAGGGCACGCAUCAUUUGAGGGCAGUGGUGGGUUGUUCAAAUAUAGAUAUAGCCAUAUAGGGGGAGAGAGAGAGAGAGCGAUAAAAGAGAUGAGAGAGAGUGACGGUUGACGGCCAUUUUCUCCGGCCGACCGUCUUAGUACUCCGACGAGUAGCUUUAGACUCGAGUAUCACACUCGAUCAUCCAUAGACAAACCCCUUCUCGAUGGCGGCUCUAGGGUUCGGGCUAUUAAACCCGGCGGCGACCACAACCGACGGUCCACAGAUGCGUCGUACAUCCAUCAUGAUGAAGGGCUUUUCAGGGAUUUAACCGAGACACGUGGGUGUCUCCCUAACCUCCACAGCUUCCCAAUCCCAUUAAGUUAUACGGUAUCAAAUAUCAGGAGAGAGACAGAUUUGAGAGAGCGGUGAUGAGGAUACGGCCGUCGUCUCCGGCCGGCCACCCUCGGGUUAAACCGGUGGUGAUGGUCUGGUGGAAAGAUGAUGGGGUUGCAGCGGCGCCAUGGCGGCCCUACGGCGCGUCACCUCCUCCUCUGUUUCUUUACGUUUUAGUUACACAGCUCGCUCUUCUUUAGCUCGGUGUUCUACGACUUUUGUGAACGACAUUAAUGGCGCUUCAUGGCGGCGAUGGUCGUUGGUUGCUUGCCAGGGUUGAUAUUGUUGUUCUGUUGCUGCUUCAAGUUCGAAUAGGAGUUUUUUUCCUGCCUAUGCAGUUGAUUCAGGUGUUGCUUGGCGAGAUCCAGAGAGUAUCCUCGAGGGAAGGUAGGGCUGUCAUUAAACUUCAUUGAUAAUGGGUUUUUCAACAGUAAGUUCGUUAGUUUCAAUGAAAUUAUAUAUUUAUAUGUGUUUUUCUUGAGAUUGUGUUUGCUUUUUGGAUAUUUUGACUUUGUUCAGGUGUAUGACAUCAGAUUAUGAUGUAAUAUCCAUCAUAUUUGAUGUUCAUAAAUAUGCCAAAACACCAGAAGAUGCAGUUGCAGAAGUGGUUAAAGCAGGUGUCUGUGUCUUAUUUACUACUUUUUAUUAUUUAGGUAACAAAAACAUCUGCCCAGUGAUUUAGAAACUGUUAGACCAUGUGUAGUGGUACAAAUGAAUAAUGCCCUCACUUAUGGGUAUUGUGCGACACGUGUCAUCCCAAUCAGAAAAGGGGCAUUAUGAGCGUUUUUCACAAAUUGGCGUAGUGGGAUAAUGCCCAAUAAUGCCCCAUUGAUUGAUUACCCAAUUAUUUAAAAAAAUAAAAAUAAAACAAAUAAUAUUAGUUAGAAUAUGCUUAUUGGACAGACAAAAAUGAGAAAGCAUGCACAGGCGUUUUUUAAAUGAAGCGGAGGACCAUUUUUUGGAAAAAAAAAAACGCUUAAACACGCCUAGGGGGUGGGGGUGGGGGUGUUUGGGCGUGAUUGAUGAGGAAAAACGCCUACCACUACGCAUGGUCUUAUUGUACUGGCUGGGAUAAGUGGACGUGGUAGCUUCCCUAUGCAUGUCGACAAGUUUUUUAAGGUUGAUGCUUCUGUUUCUGAUACACUACCAGUAGCGUAGUAAAUUUUUCCGCCUUUACUUGCGAAUGGGUCAUAUUUGGGUUAUGCUUUAUCUUAAACGGGUCAAUAAAAUUUAUUGUAUACUUUUGUACAUAUAAACUAACGAGUAAACAACUUAGGCGUUUAAGGUUGCUUCUAUUGUGUUGGCUCAGGGUCCUCAACACCUCCCUUCUUUCAUAUAAGGUUUUCCUCUGCCGCGCACAGUUAACAGUGUCGAAUGUCUGUUGCAAACUGGCGACAGAGGCUGGACGACAAAGAAAUAUAAACUCUUAGACUGGAAGGAGCUAUACCACCAAUAGAAGUCCAACUUCUACGCAGCUCGUCAAAACAUGCUACACACUGGUCAACUGACAGGUAGACUGGUAUACCUCACAUGUUUACCCAUAUACAAAAAAUAACACUAUUAUCAUUGCAUUACUACACAUUUUAAGCUUAAAAGCAUGUACACGUCUAAGAACACGACUUGGGUUUUAGUUAUUAGGAUGCAAUAAGCUUAAUCUACUACUAUUUGAACUAAGAUAAUAAUGUUAAAUCAUCUGCAUAAUCAGCCAUCACGUGUAGGAAUGAGCUCGGUACCAUAACGGUACCAAAAAUACCGGUCCCAAAAAACCUACUUUUUCCGCCUUUACUUGCGAAGGGGUCAUAUUUGGGUUGUGCUUUAUCUCAAACGGGUCAAUAAAAUUUGUUGUAUACUUUUCUACAUAUAAACUAACGAUUAAGCAACUUAGGCGUUUAAGGUUGCUUCUAUUGUGUCGGCUCAGGGUCCUCAACACCUCCCUUCUUUACCUCUACAACACUAGAGCACAUGUCCUUCUUUCAAGACCUUCAACCUGGACUAAUUUGAGCUCAAGGUGAAUAUAAGUAUUGUUGUAUGCAUUGAAAUAUAAUACAAACACUAUAAGAUAUAAAAAGGUUAACGGUAACCUUUAAAAUGUUUCAAAUAAUAGUGAUUUUUUAGGGAUGUUAAUGAGUAGUGUUCAUGUUUUUACGAGUCGGACCUGACUUGAACACGACAUGGACCCGGAUAUCAUGUCACACAUGAAAAGUUAUUUUUAUUGAAAGAAAUAUGUUAAAUCAUGCUUAUUUGUUUUUAAUAAUUUUGAGCUUUCGGAUAAAACUACCCAAAAUAGUUUUAAGUUAUUGUUACAUAAAUACAUUUCUAACAAGUAAAUGAAUGGGUCAAAUGGGUACCUCAAACAGAGCCCGUUUAGUUAAACGUGUAUCCAAGUUUGACUCGAACUUGUAUAGACUAAACCCAAAUCCAUAAGACUAUAGGGUGUGGAGGGGCUUGAGUUGGGGGCAACCGCCAUCCCAACCCAUGCCCCACACCCCACGGUCUAAAGUCGAGCUCAUAAUAAGUUUUUUCACUUAUAAAUUUAAUUUUAACAAAAUGAAUAAUGCAUAUGUGGUGGUAUACUAUAGGAAGUUGCAAACUUUUUAUCUGGAGUUAUCACCAGCAAAGAGAGUACUAAAGUAUACGCAACCUAUGGUAAAUGCAGUGAAAAGUCAGAAAUGCUAAAACGUCAUAACAAAGAAGGUUUUAAAGGCACCAAGGCUAUUUGGUUUCUACACCUGAGUAAGAAAGCCAAAUAGAUUAGUAAAUAAUGCCAGACAACUCACAUGUUCUAAUCCAACCAUGUUUUUACCCGUUACCAAACCCACCCAUACUAUGGAACACAUAUUUGAUAAAUUACAAUUAUACAAGUGGGGCCCUUGACGUUACAUGUCGAACUCACGAUUAUAAGUCACGAGAAUCAGUUGGUGAUUCAACACCAGAAUUCUACAAUGACAUCCUCUUCUUUGGUGUAAUCAACAUAUUAGAGGAUUUUGACAUCAGCAAAAAAGCUUGAGCACGCCUAUAAAGCAUUCUAAUACGACCCGACUUCCAUUUCGCUCACAUGCAUACAAAAACUCCGGAUGACAAUUAGGCACUCUACUACAGAUGAAGAAAGCAGCAAACGCCACAAAGGGAAAUCGCCUUGAAGGGUCAACACAAAAGUCCUUUUGCUUCUAGGUAUGCAUGUGGACAUGUAAUCUUUUGGGUCCACUUCCUUAAUAUGUAAUAUUUUGGUUCAACUGAAACAUUUUCUCCAAUUCAACACAGAUUGUGUGUAUGUACAUUGUAUAAAGUCCAAUUCACACAUAUUAAAGAGUGGAAUACAUCAUAUCGGAACACGGCAAAAAACACAUUGUAAAACGCGCAACGCGCGAUGAUGAAUAACACUAGUUAUAUAUAUGAAGUUAAAAAUUUUUAUGUGAACAAUAUUAAAAUUUUAAAAACUAUAUUCACGUUCAUAUCAAUUGUAAACUCAUAUGAAUUACAUAUACUUUAUUUAUUAUUAUUGAUUAAUUAAUUAAUUAACUCACUAUUGAAAUAUCAAAGCAAAUCUUAAAAACAAAAACUAAAACAUAUAUUCUUGCUGCUUAUAUAUCGGCAUAAACUACUUUUUCACAAACCCUAGCAGCCCCCAAAACCUUUCGAAUUACCCACCCUUUUUUGAUCCGCACUUAACCGGCAGCAACCACCCACCGGUCUACUCUCUUCCGCCAUGGCGCCGAUCUAGCAGUCAAUGUAUUCGUGUACUCUACAAUACAAGGCAUCUUUGAAGAACCAACUAUUGGAAUGUGGGGAAUUAGAAAGGUGUACAAAGCAGUACAUGUUACUGUACAUUGCGUACAACUACUAAAGUUGGCGAUAAAUUCUACAAGUGGAUUAGACUACUUUCAUAAUAACUCAACGAAAGUACCGAGAGGGGUAAAAUAUGAUGGUGGAUGGAAGUUUGAUUCAACUCGAAUUGCUGGACCAAGCUGCAUGACCUUCCACUAGAUUUUAAUGAAGAUUUCAAAAUAUUGUACGAAGAAGAGCAAAAAGUGAUAGAAGAUGACAGUUUUUUUUCUAAAGAAGGAAGACCCACUAAUUCGACUUUUGGGACUCGAGCACGGGGGUCGAGCACGGACGAUAUCCGAUAUUAUAGGACAUACUAGGGUUCAUGGUGGAUUGUACAAAAAUGUGAACCAUAGCGUAACCAGGACAGAUGAAGUUAAGUAUGUUAAGGGUAUGUUUCAUGAGGUCGUUCAGUGGCCAAGACAUGCACUAAAGCAUUGUAGCUCGUGAACAAAGAGACGGCGAGCAAGUCAACUAGUGCCACGAGAAUGGCCUUGAGUGCUGGAUCACCAAAUUGUACAGGCGCCUCGCUACAAAUCCCUGUUGAUGAUACCGCGAUGACGCCAACAGGCUGAGGUAGUCAACCAGUAUCUAGAACUCCAAACUCAAGAUGUCAUGAUGCAACCUGAUAAGUUCAAGGCUCUUUAUGGCAUUUUUUAGAAGCCCAAUUCCCAAUGCGCUUUUCUUGAUCCCACGAAAAUCAGUGGUCCAAAGUGUAUUAAAGAACCUAAAGUUGUUGAGAGUUACAUAAAAGAUAUAAGUUGGUUUCAUUCCAAAAAAACUUCAUUCUUGCACCAUAUCUACAAAGUGGCCAUUGGUCGCUAAUAAUUCUUCAUCCUACUUCCUAUCAUGGCUAUAUUGUUGACUCCAUGAGAACCGGAAAGACCAAGAAAAGUUACACGCUUGUCUCUAUAAUUAACAAAGUUUUUUGGGAAGCGAUAAUUUAAGUGGGAAAUGGUACAGUGCAAGCAAUGAGAA
This is a long non-coding RNA of Helianthus annuus (common sunflower), 5231 nucleotides long. RefSeq lists it as uncharacterized. The record is from RefSeq and is a predicted model, not a curated record. The transcript is spliced from 13 exons. NCBI's taxonomy places the organism in Eukaryota, Viridiplantae, Streptophyta, Magnoliopsida, Asterales, Asteraceae.